CACGUAGGGGGCGAGCGUUGUUCGGAAUUACUGGGCGUAAAGGGCAUGUAGGCGGCCUUGUAAGCCCGGCGUGGAAGCCCACGGCUCAACCGUGGGAUUGCGCUGGGAACUGCGAGGCUUGAAUCAUGGAGAGGGAGCUAGAAUUCCUGGUGUAGGGGUGAAAUCUGUAGAGAUCAGGAAGAAUACCAGUGGCGAAGGCGAGCUCCUGGCCAAUGAUUGACGCUGAGGUGCGAAAGUGUGGGGAU
This 245-nucleotide ribosomal RNA is filed under the name uncultured bacterium. Its description in RNAcentral is "partial 16S ribosomal RNA". It matches the Rfam family "Bacterial small subunit ribosomal RNA", at positions 524 to 768 of the family's 1533-position model. The record is from RNAcentral.